UUGUGCUACUUUUGCAAGCUCAGCUCACAGCCGGCCUUCAUGAUAGGAGGUGGGCUAAAGGCCGUGGCUGGAGGGUCCAGGGACUGUGAUUUUGUUUUCCAUCUUCAUCUGCCCAAGUCCUUUCCUGCCUUUAGGCUUCUGCAGCUCUUGUCUUUGCUCUAGGAAACCUUCUCUGACCCUUUAAGAUCCGGUCAAGUUUCUGUCGGAUGUGCCAAACACCCCGUCCUUAAUCUUAUGAGCAUUUAUUAUGCUGUACUGUCACAGUUUCUUUAGGUAUCUUUUUCCCUCACUGGACUGUAGACACCUCGGGGCAGGACAGAAUCUUAUUCACCAUCCGAUACUCAGCUCCUAGCACACUAUUGAGCUCAUAGUAGGUGCUCAAUUAAUUGAUGACCUUCAUGAAUGUAUGACUACUUUAUAAAUGAGUUAUACAGGUAACUUUGUAGGUCUACAACUCCAUAUGACACAGAGGCCUGAGGCUAUAGAUGAACACUGCUGAAGUGGCACAAGUUGCUGAUAUCAAGGGUUUCAGUUAAGACAAUAGUCACGGGAGCAGAAAGGAAGGCUCUCUAGCCCCAGAGCUCUGGUCUGGAUCUCCUCCUGCCUGGGCCUUGAAUACUUGCUCAAAGCCCUUAGGCUACAGUGAAUUUUUCUGGAGCUUUGCCUUAUAUAGCUUUGCUCAAGAUAAAAGCAGUGUUUAAGGAAACAUUUGGGCAAUGUCUCAGGGCAGCCAACUUGAGCAAUUUCAAAAACACUGUUUUACUCUGCAGCCUGGGCUGUGGAUAAGAUUUACUCACUGCGUUUCAGAGCCUCGGUCACUGUCCAGAUCCGAGUCUCAGGGGUCUGUCUCUGGGGUAAGAGUUAAGCUCUCACAGUGCUCUCAAAGUUGCUUCAUAAGUCUUUGGCUUUAACAUGACAGUGGCCAUCUGUCCUAGCCAAUCCCUGGGGGAAAUGUUAGAAGAAGCAGCACAUUGACAUUCGGGCUAGAGGAAGCAGGGUGCCAAAGCCCACAUGGAAAGACUUUUCCAGGGUUAUCCUCACUGUGUCCACGGUGGGAACCUGGGACCGAGAGCUUGAUGGGCUCAGAGGCUGCUGGGGUGGGCAUGAGAGUAUUUGUUUCUAUAGAAAUGUUGCUAUAGGAUGUCUGUAGGGCCUUUGAAAGUUGACACCAGCUUUGCCCUGAAAACCAUGUGGUGCCCUUUCACAAUGUUCCCUAUGCCUUUUUAUUACCAAAGAAGUUUUCUGGUAGCUGUCCUGUCUCCAGCCUGAAACUCACUGAUGUUCUGUGAAAAUACGACAGAGACUUCAGAAUUCGAAGCCAGGUUUCUCCUUUCCAGGAGGGGGGCCUUAGUAUCCAUACACUGUAAAGAACGAGAAGCUUGCCUCCAGUGCCCUUGGCACUUUUCUGGCCCCUCCCUCCUCUCCUCCAGGCCAGAUCUGUCCCCUGGGGCCUGGCUCUCAGCCUGUUGUCAACUAAUCCAUGCUAAGGUGUUAGGUGGCAAAGGCUCAAGGGUUAUUAAUCCUUGUAGGAGCUUUCCGCAUUAAACAAAGUUUUGUUACUAAAUCAAAGGGCAUUAAAAAAUCAUCACCAUAACGUAAAAACAAUUUCUUUGUGUUCCCUAUAAAUCUUUACCUUUGUAAGUGAAUAUAGUUAUGAUUAUAACAUAUAUGCAGUAUUUGGGGUUUUUUUCACACAGAAGUACAUUUUGCACAUUUCUUUACAUGUCUAAAUGUCCCAUUUUCAUCCUCAUAAUAGUUUGAAGGUACUUUUUGCAGCAUCUGCCCAUCCCAUGAUGACUUCUCCCCUGCAAAGCCAACUGCCUUCUCUCCUUACCAGCCUCCCCACCAAUGAAGUGGGCCGGGGUAGGGGACCAUUGUGUUGCUGUGACCCGUGCCUCCACCUAUGCCUAACCUCUGCCACAGCUGAAUGAACAGGACUAGCACUAGAUUCAAGGCUCCCUUGAGAAGAUGAAUGCUGGACUUGUAGCAGAUUUCUGCAAAA
This is a long non-coding RNA of Equus caballus (horse), 2002 nucleotides long. The record is from Ensembl. NCBI's taxonomy places the organism in Eukaryota, Metazoa, Chordata, Mammalia, Perissodactyla, Equidae.